AGCGAACGCUGGCGGCAGGCUUAACACAUGCAAGUCGAACGGCCCUUCGGGGCAGUGGCGGACGGGUGAGUAACACGUGGGAACGUGCCCUUAGGUUCGGAACAACACAGGGAAACUUGUGCUAAUACCGGAUGUGCCCUUUUGGGGAAAGAUUUAUCGCCUUUGGAGCGGCCCGCGUCUGAUUAGCUUGUUGGUGGGGUAAAGGCCUACCAAGGCAACGAUCAGUAGCUGGUCUGAGAGGAUGGCCAGCCACACUGGGACUGAGACACGGCCCAGACUCCUACGGGAGGCAGCAGUGGGGAAUAUUGCACAAUGGGCGCAAGCCUGAUGCAGCAACGCCGCGUGAGGGACGACGGCCUCGGUU
RNAcentral lists this ribosomal RNA (364 nucleotides) under uncultured bacterium. RNAcentral's name for it is "bacterial SSU rRNA". It matches the Rfam family "Bacterial small subunit ribosomal RNA", at positions 29 to 424 of the family's 1533-position model. The record is from RNAcentral.